AGACGUCUACAUUAGAUACCCCCGUAGUCCCAGCCGUAAACUAUGCGCGUUAGGUGUAUCGGUGACCACGAGUUACCGAGGUGCCGAAGGGAAACCGUGAAACGUGCCGCCUGGGAAGUACGGUCGCAAGGCUGAAACUUAAAGGAAUUGGCGGGGGAGCACCACAACAGGUGGAGCCUGCGGUUUAAUUGGACUCAACGCCGGACAACUCACCGGGAACGACAGCAAUAUGUAGGCCAGGCUGAAGACCUUGCCUGAAUCGCUG
This 265-nucleotide ribosomal RNA is filed under the name uncultured archaeon. RNAcentral's name for it is "partial 16S ribosomal RNA". It matches the Rfam family "Archaeal small subunit ribosomal RNA", at positions 714 to 982 of the family's 1478-position model. The record is from RNAcentral.